UGCUCCUACGGGGCGCAGCAGUGAGGAAUAUUGGUCAAUGGGCGGGAGCCUGAACCAGCCAAGUCGCGUGAGGAAAGACGGUCCUAUGGAUUGUAAACCUCUUUAGGCGGGGAGCAAUGCCGGGCACGCGUGCCCGGAGGGAGAGUACCCGCAGAAUAAGCAUCGGCUAACUCCGUGCCAGCAGCCGCGGUAAUACGGAGGAUGCGAGCGUUAUCCGGAUUUAUUGGGUUUAAAGGGUGCGUAGGCCGCAUGUCAAGCGUGCUGUGAAAUGUCCGGGCUCAACCCGGGCCUUGCAGCGCGAACUG
RNAcentral lists this ribosomal RNA (305 nucleotides) under uncultured bacterium. RNAcentral describes it as "bacterial SSU rRNA". It matches the Rfam family "Bacterial small subunit ribosomal RNA", at positions 334 to 635 of the family's 1533-position model. The record is from RNAcentral.